GACGUAGGAGGCGAGCGUUGUCCGGAUUUACUGGGCGUAAAGUGUUCGUAGGCGGCACCGUUAGCCUGGCGUGAAAGCGCGCGGCUCAACCGCGCGAGGUCGCUGGGAACUGCGGGGCUGGAGGGUCGGCGAGGCAGACGGAAUGCCGGGUGGAGCAGUAAAAUGCGUAGAGAUCCGGCGGAACACCGGUGGCGCAAGCGGUCUGCUGGACGAUGCCUGACGCUGAGGGACGAAAGCGUGGGGAGCCAACAGG
This 253-nucleotide ribosomal RNA is filed under the name uncultured bacterium. RNAcentral describes it as "partial 16S ribosomal RNA". It matches the Rfam family "Bacterial small subunit ribosomal RNA", at positions 524 to 776 of the family's 1533-position model. The record is from RNAcentral.